This 497-nucleotide ribosomal RNA is filed under the name uncultured bacterium. Its description in RNAcentral is "partial 16S ribosomal RNA". It matches the Rfam family "Bacterial small subunit ribosomal RNA", at positions 28 to 507 of the family's 1533-position model. The record is from RNAcentral.
GAUGAACGCUGGCGGCGUGCCUAAUACAUGCAAGUCGAGCGAACAGACGAGGAGCUUGCUCCUCUGACGUUAGCGGCGGACGGGUGAGUAACAUGUGGAUAACCUACCUAUAAGACUGGGAUAACUUCGGGAAACCGGAGCUAAUACCGGAUAAUAUAUUGAACCGCAUGGUUCAAUAGUGAAAGACGGUUUUGCUGUCACUUAUAGAUGGAUCCGCGCCGCAUUAGCUAGUUGGUAAGGUAACGGCUUACCAAGGCAACGAUGCGUAGCCGACCUGAGAGGGUGGUCGGCCACACUGGAAGUGAGACAGGGUCCAGACUCCUACGGGAAGCAGCAGUAGGGAAUCUUCCGCAAUGGGCGAAAGCCUGACAGAGCAACGCCGCGUGAGUGAUGAAGGUCUUCGGAUCGUAAAGCUCUGUUAUUAGUGGAGAACAAAUGUGUAAGUAACUAUGCACGUCUUGACGGUACCUAAUCAGAAAGCCACGGCUAACUACGUG